UUUUAUAAUAAUAAUUUUAAAAAAGCACACCCGCUCUCAUCUGAUCUCGGAAGCAAAGCUGGCUCGGGCCUGGUUAGUACUUGGAUGGGAGACUGCUGGGAAUAUCAGGUGCUGUAAGCU
This 120-nucleotide ribosomal RNA is filed under the name Kryptolebias marmoratus (mangrove rivulus). The record is from RNAcentral. Lineage: Eukaryota; Metazoa; Chordata; Actinopteri; Cyprinodontiformes; Rivulidae.